This 492-nucleotide ribosomal RNA is filed under the name uncultured bacterium. RNAcentral's name for it is "partial 16S ribosomal RNA". It matches the Rfam family "Bacterial small subunit ribosomal RNA", at positions 29 to 507 of the family's 1533-position model. The record is from RNAcentral.
AGUGGACGCUGGCGGUAGGCCUAACACAUGCAAGUCGAACGGCAGCACAGUAAGAGCUUGCUCUUACGGGUGGCGAGUGGCGGACGGGUGAGGAAUACAUCGGAAUCUACUUUUUCGUGGGGGAUAACGUAGGGAAACUUACGCUAAUACCGCAUACGACCUACGGGUGAAAGCAGGGGAUCUUCGGACCUUGCGCGAUUGAAUGAGCCGAUGUCGGAUUAGCUAGUUGGCGGGGUAAAGGCCCACCAAGGCGACGAUCCGUAGCUGGUCUGAGAGGAUGAUCAGCCACACUGGAACUGAGACACGGUCCAGACUCCUACGGGAGGCAGCAGUGGGGAAUAUUGGACAAUGGGCGCAAGCCUGAUCCAGCCAUACCGCGUGGGUGAAGAAGGCCUUCGGGUUGUAAAGCCCUUUUGUUGGGAAAGAAAAGCAGCAGGUUAAUACCCCGCUGUUCUGACGGUGCCCAAAGAAUAAGCACCGGCUAACUUCGUG